RNAcentral lists this ribosomal RNA (449 nucleotides) under uncultured bacterium. RNAcentral describes it as "bacterial SSU rRNA". It matches the Rfam family "Bacterial small subunit ribosomal RNA", at positions 354 to 796 of the family's 1533-position model. The record is from RNAcentral.
GUCGAGAAUCUUUCACAAUGGGGGCAACCCUGAUGGAGCGACGCCGCGUGGAGGAUAAGGUCUUCGGAUUGUAAACUCCUGUCAUGCGUGAACAAGGUUGCUUGGUUAAUACCUGGGCAAAUUGAUGGUAACGCAAGAGGAAGAGACGGCUAACUCUGUGCCAGCAGCCGCGGUAAUACAGAGGUCUCAAGCGUUGUUCGGAAUCACUGGGCGUAAAGGGUGCGUAGGUGGCGUGGUAAGUCAGAUGUGAAAGCCCGGGGCUCAACCUCGGAAAUGCAUCCGAUACUGCCAUGCUAGAGUACUGGAGAGGUGACUAGAAUUCUCGGUGUAGCAGUGAAAUGCGUAGAUAUCGAGAGGAAUACCAAAGGCGUAGGCAGGUCACUGGACAGUUACUGACACUGAGGCACGAAGGCCAGGGGAGCGAACGGGAUUAGAUACCCUAGUAGUCC